GCAGGAUGAACCUCUAAUGGCUCAACUAUUUCAGGUAAUGCGACAAUUUCUGUAUGAUCUUUCCGUGAUGCUGUAUCUGAACCUUCAUUCUCAUUCACAUCAUUUUCAUAUGCCUCUGCUUGUUCUGCCUCAUUAUAAAGAAUCUCCUAUAUUCACAAGAGAGCAAAUUAAUUCAGUUAAUAAUCAAGAGAAAAAAAAAAAAAAGACCCAGCAAAAGGUAAAAGAAAAAUAUUAGUGCUACCUCAUCUUCUUGGAAAGACAGCUUCUCAGACUCAACAACCCAAUUAUCUAGUAAGCUCUCUAGCAUGCCACUGUCAAGAGAUAUGGAGCCAUCAGUAGUUCUCUUUAAUUGUCGCUCCCUAAGACGCAAGUUGUAAUGGACAUAAGCAAAAUCAUUUAAUUUCUUCUGGGCCAAACGGUUAUGCCUUGUACUAUGAAUUUGAUCAAAUAUACUCCAAUGGUGUUCACAACCAAAGGACGUACAUGUCUGGCUCAAAAUGCGAAUAGCAAUUCGUUGCAAUUCAAGACAAUUUAUCCCAUGUUGUUGCCACCACGCAGCUGUCAAUGAAAGGAAGAACAAGAACAACAAAGAAGCAAUGGUUCAAACUCUAUUCUGCCAUAACAAUAAGACAACAACCGCAUCUGACAAAGGAUGCACAAGGCAAUAUAGUUUAUAAGCCAUAUAGUUUCGCGUGCUGAUCAUAUGAAUUAUCACCUGGAUCCAGCUCCAUUCUUGUACUCAAAGCCAGUUCAGUUCCAAAAUCAGCUUUAGCAAAAACAAAAUCAGAAAUCUAGGAUGAACAACAUAAGAUCACAGAAUAUUAAUAAAAGAAUCUGUUAGAAAAUUUACAGGUUAUCAUGAUAUUAAUGGUUAAAAAAUGAUUUAAGUUAGACAGACAGUACCUGCGAAGCAGCAGAAACUCUUCUUCCAUGAUCUGGUUCUAGUCGAGUUAUGCAUUCAUUUAGACCUCGGAUAACCUCUGGUAGCUACAAAUUAGAAAAUAACAAUUCAAAAUUAGAAUACAAACAUUGUACUCUUGGGAUUUAAGCAUGCGAUGCUAUAAUCAUACCACCAUGAAAUCUGGACGAUAACGAUAUGAUGGAUUAAGGAAGUAUGCUGCAACAUAUAGGGCAUGGUUGAAAACAGCACUCCAAUGGUUGUCUAUUACACUCCAGAAGGGACCAUAUUUUCGCUCAUCAUCAGCAUGGAUGGCUUUAAUAGCAAGUUUAGCUCGGUAGAUGUCAUUAUAAAUAGAUGGCAUAGACAACCCUUCAGUGCUGUCAACUUUUUUAAACAUCUGUACAACAGGAUCAACAGAUUUUUUAACAUAUUGCAUCUUCUUCCAGAAUGUGGAGUUGAAGACAAUUUUUUCAACUUCUUUACCCUCAUCUGAUUUUGCUAAUUGGGACAAAAUCCAUUUAUUUGAUUGGAACAUUCUUCUGAGAGCAGCCCUAUGAUCCAGCAAGCUUUGUAAAGUAAGAAAGCUGGUUGCAAACUUGGUAACAGCUGGUCUAAGAAGUUCCUUUCCCGCUGUAAAUUCCUUUUUCAUAAGGUUUAACAACCAUAUGCGGUUAUAAAUAAAUUUAACAAUUUUUUGGCCUUUGUCAAUGCACUCUCUGACCCAUUUUAUCUUCACAAAAUCCUCAAGAAUUUGAUCGAUGCAGUAGGCAGCACAGGGCGUCCAAAAUAAACUUCUCCUCUUCUCCUCCAGCAUCUUCCCAGCAGCUUUAUAGUUUGCAUUAUUUUCUGUAAUUACCUGUAAUAAUAAUUCAUGCUACCAAGAAAUUACCAUCAAAGUAUAAUGAAAUAUUCAGGAAAAAGUCUCAAACUCAGAAUGUAGAUUUCACUCUAUAAUGUAUGUGAUCAGCCAAAAACUUAAGAAAUUGAAAGAAAAAGAGUUAAGUACCUGUACAACAUUUCCCUCGCCUACCUCCUCCACAACAUUGUCCAAGAGCUUAAAAAGACUGGUAACAUCUUUGAUUACAUCAGAUGCAUCAAUGGAGGAAAUGAAGUAUGUCCCUCUGGGGCAAGACACCAAGAAAUUGACUAUUGUCUGUCCCUGCACAUCUUUCCAGCUAUCUGCGAUAAUUGUACAGCCAGUUGUAGCCCAAGAAGCCUUGAUUUCUACAAGAUAUUCUUUAAUACUUCCAACUUCAUCCUGCAGACAUCGACCAGAAAUUAAUCUGGUUGUAGGGCUUUUUAAUCCAUGUCCAUAUUGACCAACCACAUCCAGCAUCUUGUGAAAGUAUGGCGAAUCUGCGACAUUGAAAGGUAUUGCAGCAUAAUAGAAAAAUUUGCAGAUUGCAGAGGUUACUUCUUUACGGCUCUUUUUUUCAGAUCCUGCCUUCUGUUUUGAUUGCUUGCACCAUAAUGGUACCUGGCUUUUCUGUGUCUUUGCAAUUACAGCAUCUGGAUUCAUCUGUUUCAGUUGUAGGUCAGUAUCGCUUGUACCACUUUCCAGUGACCUCCCUCUAGAUCUUUUUCUUAUGGUUUUACUACAAGAAACAUCUUGAUCACCCAUCAUACGAUUUGCUUUGUUUUUACCAUUUGCAAGCCCUUCUUCCUCAUCAUUGUCUGGAUGCAUAUAUAAUGCUGCAAGUUCUUUGGCUUCAGGCCUUCUUCUCCUUCCUGUGCGAUGCCAUUUCAUAUUUUCUUUCAUUUUAAGAUAUACUUCCUCGGGAGCCAUCUUACAGUAUGCAACUUCCCCAGGAAUUCUGGCUAAAUGCUGUUUGAACCUGUUUAUACCACCACUAACUAUUUUCUCACAAUAAUUGCAUUUAACCUUUUUUUCUUCUCAUCUUGAGCAACGCCAUGUUCCCAUCCUGGGUCAACAUACCCUAAUGACCGUAGUGGGGCUAUAGCUGUGACCAAGCUUUGAUCAUUUCCAAUCUGCCUUCCCUUGCGUCUAUAACCAACAGGUUCUUCAUCCUCUUCAUCAUCAUCAUUUGAAUGUAAAUCGAAGGAUUGCUCUUCAUCCUCUGAUUGUCGUUUUUUGCUAGCCCUGUAUCCUUCAAGAUUUUCUUUCAUUUUCAUAUACACCUCUUCAGGAGCCUUUUUACAGUAUGUAACUUCGCCAGAAAUUCUAGCCAAAUGCUGCUUCAAUCUGUAUAUUCCCCCGCUUACUAUUUUCCCACAGUAAUUGCAUUUUACCUUUUUCUUCCUCUCAUCUUGAGCAACACCAUGUUCCCAUCCAGGGUCAGUAAACCCUGUUAAGCGAAGUGGAGCCAUCUCUUCAACCAUUAAUCAUGCAGCACAACAGCUUCACCCUUUGGCAUCCUAUUAUCUAGCUUCUACAAAACUGGAAAAAGAGCACACCUACAUUAAAACUUGAAUCAAGAAAAGAUGUUUUCCUGAGAUCACUUGUAAUUGGUGAGAAACUCUGUCAGUAACAGCAUCGUCAUAAAGAUCUUGGCAGCAAGCCAGGAGAAAAAAGGAAGAAAACAUUUUUGUCUUACACAUGAGUUAUCUGAUAAGACUAAAAAGAAGAGAGAAGAAUAUUGAGACAUUGUGCAUUGGCGCCUGUGCACACACACAUAUAUAUAGUAUUAAGUAGCAUGAAAUAGAUAUGUUUUAUGAAACAUCCAUCCACAACUCUCUAUGUACAUCUUCUGAUGCCACUAACCUUUAAUUCAUGUAUGGUUUGUCAAGGAAUAUGCAACCAUGUAAACUGAAAAGCAUCCGGAUUGCUAAACAGAGAGGAAAGAGCUAUACUACAUGGACUCAGGUUCAUGUGUUGGGUGUGGCUGCAUGUCAAAGUGUCUGAUUUUCAAUACCUACGAAUAUCUCCUUGUGAAGCCAUGCCCCAGUGCCAUACCAGUGUUCAUGUGUUGGGUACUACAUGGGGGAAUAGAAAGAAAACUUAGAUAUUAUGAUUAUUGCUUUAUAAAUGUCAUUAGCAUCUUAAAAGUGAGAUGCAAAACAUGAAACAGAAGUCAGAGAAGAAGCUCCAUUGCUUGAUGUAAACAGUUAGCCACAUUUAAUUGGUUGGC
This 3990-nucleotide long non-coding RNA is filed under the name Elaeis guineensis (African oil palm). RNAcentral's name for it is "long non-coding RNA (EGUI_LNC006096)". Lineage: Eukaryota; Viridiplantae; Streptophyta; Magnoliopsida; Arecales; Arecaceae. The record is from RNAcentral.